UACGGAGGGUGCAAGCGUUAUCCGGAUUCACUGGGCUUAAAGGGAGCGUAGGUGGGCAGGUAAGUCAGUGGUGAAAUCUCCGAGCUUAACUCGGAAACUGCCAUUGAUACUAUCUGUCUUGAAUUAUCUGGAGGUAAGCGGAAUAUGUCAUGUAGCGGUGAAAUGCUUAGAUAUGACAUAGAACACCCAUUGCGAAGGCAGCUUACUACGGAUAUAUUGACACUGAGGCUCGAAAGCGUGGGGAUCAAACAGG
This 253-nucleotide ribosomal RNA is filed under the name uncultured bacterium. RNAcentral describes it as "partial 16S ribosomal RNA". It matches the Rfam family "Bacterial small subunit ribosomal RNA", at positions 524 to 776 of the family's 1533-position model. The record is from RNAcentral.